This 72-nucleotide transfer RNA is filed under the name Winogradskya consettensis. RNAcentral describes it as "Actinoplanes consettensis tRNA-Gly". It matches the Rfam family "tRNA". From Rfam's summary of the family: Transfer RNA (tRNA) molecules are approximately 80 nucleotides in length. Their secondary structure includes four short double-helical elements and three loops (D, anti-codon, and T loops). Further hydrogen bonds mediate the characteristic L-shaped molecular structure. tRNAs have two regions of fundamental functional importance: the anti-codon, which is responsible for specific mRNA codon recognition, and the 3' end, to which the tRNAs corresponding amino acid is attached (by aminoacyl-tRNA synthetases). tRNAs cope with the degeneracy of the genetic code in two manners: having more than one tRNA (with a specific anti-codon) for a particular amino acid; and 'wobble' base-pairing, i.e. permitting non-standard base-pairing at the 3rd anti-codon position. The record is from RNAcentral. Lineage: Bacteria; Bacillati; Actinomycetota; Actinomycetes; Micromonosporales; Micromonosporaceae. RNAcentral also lists the same sequence under 1 other name.
GCGGCUGUAGCACAACGGCAGUGCGCCGCCUUGCCAUGGCGGAUACCGGGGUUCGACUCCCCGCAGCCGCUC